This 1467-nucleotide ribosomal RNA is filed under the name uncultured Bordetella sp. RNAcentral describes it as "partial 16S-23S ribosomal RNA intergenic spacer". It matches the Rfam family "Bacterial small subunit ribosomal RNA". The record is from RNAcentral. Lineage: Bacteria; Pseudomonadati; Pseudomonadota; Betaproteobacteria; Burkholderiales; Alcaligenaceae.
GUUUGAUUCUGGCUCAGAUUGAACGCUGGCGGGAUGCUUUACACAUGCAAGUCGAACGGCAGCACGGACUUCGGUCUGGUGGCGAGUGGCGAACGGGUGAGUAAUGUAUCGGAACGUGCCUAGUAGCGGGGAUAACUACGCGAAAGCGUAUGUGCACAUACGCCCUUCGGGGGAAAGCGGGGGACCUUCGGGCCUCGCACUAUUAGAAGCGGCCGAUAUCGGAUUAGCUAGUUGGUGGGGUAACGGCUCACCAGGCGACGAUCCGUAGCUGGUUUGAGAGGACGACCAACCACACUGGGACUGAGACACGGCCCAGACUCUACAGGAGGCAGCAGUGGGGAAUUUUGGACAAUGGGGAAACCCUGAUCCAGCCAUCCCGCGUGUGCGAUGAAGGCCUUCGGGUUGUAAAGCACUUUUGGCAGAAAGAAACGGCACGGGAUAAUACCCCGUGCAACUGACGGUACCUGCAGAAUGCGCCGCAGCUAACUACGUGCCAGCAGCCGCGGUAAUACGUAGGGUACAAGCGUUAAUCAGAUUACUGGGCGUAAAGCGUGCGCAGGCGGUUCGGAAGAAAGAUGUGAAAUCCCAGAGCUUAACUUUGGAACUGCAUUUUUAACUACCGAGCUAGAGUGUGUCAGAGGGAGGUGGAAUUCCCGCGUGUAGCAGUGAAAUGCGUGAUAUGCGGAGGAACACCGAUGGCGAAGGCAGCCUCCUGGGAUAACACUGACGCUCAUGCAAAGCGUAAGGGGAGCAAACAGGAUUAGAUACCCUGGUAGUCCACGCCCUAAACGAUGUCAGCUAGCUGUUGGGGCCUUCGGGCCUUGGUAGCGCAGCUAACGCGUGAAGUUGACCGCCUGGGGAGAGUACGGUCGCAAGAUUAAAACUCAAGGAAUUGACGGGACCGCACAAGCGGUGGAUGAUGUGGAUUAAUUCGAUGCAACGCGAAAACCUUACCUACCCCAUGACAUGUCUGGAAUCCCGAAGAGAUUUGGGAGUGCUCGCAAAGAGCCGGAACACAGGUGCUGCAUGGCUGUCGUCAGCUCGUGGCUCGUCAGAGAUGUUGGGUUAAGUCCCGCAACGAGCGCAACCCCUUGUCAUUAGUUGCUACGAAAGGGCACUCUAAUGAGACUGCCGACAAACCGGAGGAAGGUGGGGAUGACGUCAAGUCCUCAUGGCCCUUAUGGGUAGGGCUUCACGUCAUACAAUGGUCGGGACAGAGGGUCGCCAACCCGCGAGGAGGUAAUCUCGAAACCAGUCAUGGUCCGGAUCGCAGUCUGCAACUCGACUGCGUGAAGUCGGAAUCGCUAGUAAUCGCGGAUCAGCAUGUCGCGGUGAAUACGUUCCCAGGUCUUGUACACACCGCCCGUCACACCAUGGGAGUGGGUUUACCAGAAGUAGUUAGCCUAACCGUAAGGAGGCGAUUACCACGGUAGGAUUCAUGACUGGGGUGAAGUCGUAACAAGGUAA